This 446-nucleotide ribosomal RNA is filed under the name uncultured bacterium. RNAcentral's name for it is "partial 16S ribosomal RNA". It matches the Rfam family "Bacterial small subunit ribosomal RNA", at positions 338 to 795 of the family's 1533-position model. The record is from RNAcentral.
CCUACGGGUGGCAGCAGUCGAGAAUCAUUCACAAUGGGGGAAACCCUGAUGGUGCGACGCCGCGUGGGGGAAUGAAGGUCUUCGGAUUGUAAACCCCUGUCAUGUGGGAGCAGAUUAAAAAGAUAGUACCACAAGAGGAAGAGACGGCUAACUCUGUGCCAGCAGCCGCGGUAAUACAGAGGUCUCAAGCGUUGUUCGGAAUCACUGGGCGUAAAGCGUGCGUAGGCUGUUUCGUAAGUCGUGUGUGAAAGGCGCGGGCUCAACCCGCGGACGGCACAUGAUACUGCGAGACUAGAGUAAGGGAGGGGGAACCGGAAUUCUCGGUGUAGCAGUGAAAUGCGUAGAUAUCGAGAGGAACACUCGUGGCGAAGGCGGGUUCCUGGACAUUAACUGACGCUGAGGCACGAAGGCCAGGGGAGCGAAAGGGAUUAGAUACCCUAGUAGUC